Molecule: ribosomal RNA, 225 nt
Filed under: Eisenoides lonnbergi
Lineage: Eukaryota; Metazoa; Annelida; Clitellata; Crassiclitellata; Lumbricidae
Description: partial 12S ribosomal RNA
Rfam family: Bacterial small subunit ribosomal RNA
Source: RNAcentral
UUACGUCAGGUCAAAGUGCAGCCCAUGAGAUAGGAGAUGAUGGGUUACACCCUUAAUAAAGAUACAAAUUAGAUUACUAAAAAUUCUAUGAAGGUGGACUUGGUUGUAACUGUUAUUCAAUAUUACAAUGAAAACGAAUCUAAGAUAUGCACACAUCGCCCGUCACUCUCGCUUAUAAGGCGAGAUAAGUCGUAACAAAGUAGAUGUAACGGAAGUUGCAUCUGU